CACACUUUUAUUCCAGAAGCAAAGCCAAACAGACCUCUGAGCUCAAGGUCAAUUGACAGAGCAAGUUCUAGGAAAGCCAAGCUUAGGCAGUGAGGGAGUUGGAAAACAGAAAGCUGACAGUAGAAUAAAGGGGGCCAUGUUCCAGCCCCAGCAAGCAGCAGAACACGGCAGCUUCAGCCAUGUGGCUCUGUCUUUAGAGUGAAAAAUAGAAGGGUGCUACUGGGACAGCUGACGCUGGUGAGCUGGAGAUAAGAAACUGGCAGUGAUUGUGAAGAGACCAGCUGAGGUGAAAUCAUCUGGGAAGUGUUUUCUGAGAGCACAAAGAAGCUGUGUUCCAGAGAUGGCCAAGGGUGUACCUCAUGCUGCAGCUGGACUUGGUAAUGUGUAAGAGUCACCCGGUGGUACUGGUUUUGAAGGCAUGAAGGGGUCAUGAAGAGCAGCUGAGGCUUGGCACUGUGAGGGGCCAUUGGUGAAGGUACAGCCUCCGUUGUAGUUGAUGGCUCAGGACUGAAGGGGUCAUGCAAAGGAAUGAGGCUUGGCACUAUGAAGAAAGCCUCUGAGAGGCUAUUGGUGAAGCCUAGUUGGAACAGAAGACCCCAGUGCAUUGGCGAUGUCAGCACUAUGGGAUGAUCACCAAGGGCAGCAGCGGCAAUGGAGUGGAUCAACCUGAGCUUAGAGAGCUACAGAGAGCAGAGCUAGAGAAGUGACACCAGCCCUUUGGAGGAGCCCAGAAGGUCAUAUGUGGAUUGCAGACACCGAUACGAGAAGCUGCAACACUGAAGUUGCCUUGGAGACCCCAAGAUUUUCGAGAUGCUAGAGCCAUAGGAUAUCUCCUGAGGAAAGCUGCUAACAGGAAGUGGAACCAGCCCAGGAAAAGCAGUUUGUUGCUUCAUUAAAGAUCAAAAAGGAGUUGGAGGUUUGAACGCUGCUUUGACAUGGGACAUGGAGAUAGGAGACACAGAGUUUGGAGUCUGCCCAGCUGGCUUCCUGUCUUGAUUCAUGGAUUACAGUUAAGUGACUGAAUGGAUCUCAGAAGAGACUUUGAACUCUGGACUUUUAACAUUGUUGAUGCUGCUAUAGACUAUGGGGACUUUGGAAGUUGAACUAAAUGUACUUUCUGCUAUGGCUAGAUAUGGUCAUUCCAUAGAAUCAAGUGUUUGAACAAGUCUAUGGGGGCCAGGGAAUGGAAUGUCAUGGUUUGAAUAUGCUUGGCCCAGGGAUUGGCACUAUUUGGAGAUGUGGCCUUGUUGGCGUAGGUGUGUCACUGUGGAUGUGGGCUUUGAGAGCCUCAUCCUAGCUGCCUGGAAGUCAGUAUUCUGCUAUCAGCCUUCAGAUGAUGUGGAACUCUCAGCUCCUCCUGCACCAUGGCUGCCUGGAUGCCACCAUGUACCACUCUUGAUGAUAAUGGACUGAACCUCUGAACCUGUCAGCCAGCCCCAGAACCAACUCUUUAUGACCCCACCCUUCAGCCUCAGCACUGUGACUGCUCCAAACGAGAGGAGAGAACGAAAGCCAACAUGUCACUCGAUUAGUAAUUGAUGGAGCAGAAGUUCAGAUUCAGGAGCCACGGACUUGGAUACCGAGAUGGAAACCAAUGCCUUCUGCUAUUUGAUGUGUCAAGAAACGCGUUCUUUUAGUAACAGCAGCCACGCUGUUCCUAAUGGGAUGAAAACACCUUUAAAACCUCGUCCAAACGGCGAUGGGGAUCCACAUGCCUCAUUGCCUGAAGGGUGUCCGUGGGUUUCUAACUGAAAACUCUACUUACAGUCAAGGCUGCCGUUUACCCUGGUUUUAUACGUGAGGAAACUGGGCUCCUGGAGAGCUAGGUAGCUCGCUUCAGGUCAUAGCUAUGGUAAACGGUCAGCCAGGACUAUGAAUCAAAUUCCGUCAAGAUGUGACUCUUUACUGCUGAUAGUGCGCCAUUGCUCUGUCUUAAUGAGAGGUGUAGUUAAUGGUGGGUCACUUACAGCAAGUGGCAAUAGGAUACACUCAUAGGACUCGGACAGAAAUGGAUCUACAUCUCAUUUCUGACGUAAGGUGCUUAGCAUCUCCCGUGACACCCUUGUCCACCAGGCCAUCCCCACAGAGCUAUGGUGACUGGAGGGAUGGUGUGAUGAGACAUUCUCAGAACUUGUUUAGCAGGUGACAGAUCCUCAGGAAACAGAUGGUGCCUCCGAGAGACGGUCAUGCUUAAUACCCAGGCUAACAGACAGAAUCUUAACCCAGGCCAUUAGAUUUCAAACCCAACUUCUCUACCGCUAGACCACUGUCUCAGCAAAGGUGUGUGCGUUCUCUCAUGACAUCAGUAAAUCUGCGCCUGCUUUUACACAGCCUCUCAGUUCUACUGUAGGUCUACUCCAGACUGCUUCAUGUGCUUCUGAACCCAAUAUGGAUACCACUGGGAAGGUUACAUACGUACACAGAAGUAAGUUCCUGCCACAAGAUUUAAACAGACGAUUAUGAUAUGCCAGCCUUAAGACCAAAGGUACCCACGGAGGCCAGACGAGAGCAUCAGAUCCCCCCGGAGCUAGAGUGAUGGGUGGCUGUGUAUGUGGAACCAAUUCUGGGUCUUCUGGAAGAUCAGUAAGCACUUUUAACCGCUGCGUCACAUCUCUGUGUCCUUACACUUGUGAUUCUUAUCUGUUCAUUAGUAGCCAAGAACCUGAAAAGAAAAGGCUGGUCCUAGAAGCCUAUUCAUCUGUAGAAAUAACUGUCUCUCUUGCCAAAAGCAGACAGGAGAGACAGCGCUAACUGGGAAGUGGUCAUCGGGUAUGGGAUGGGGGGUGUUUUUACGAGGGAGAUGCUGCAUCGUUUAAAUGUUGGUACGAAGGAGCUGGUAUAAAGCUGGAGGGGAAGGCAUCGAUGGAGAGAGGUAAUUGAGAAACUGUGUUCAGGAAACUGAAGUAGUGGGAUUCUCAAGGCAACUGAAGAAAGGCUUGUGUGAUGCUCUUAUGCGUGCAUAUGGCUGGGAGCCCCAGGGCUUUGUGUGUGUGGGUUUAAAUCAGCCUGUAGAAGGAGGCAGGGUGUCUGCUGAGAGUUAAAGGGACGCUUGAGCAGCCGUAGGCUUAAGGAGAAACGAUGACCUUGGAAAGGCCCUGUAAUGAGUAAGGGGAGGGACUACGAGGCCUGCCAUGAGGCUGUUUAGCUGUGAGUGGUGAGCUCCCUGACUGGAUUUACUGAUGCACGUCACUCCUCUUAUGACUUUCUCCAGCAAGGUUCAACUGCUUAGAGAUAGGCACAGGACUGUGAGCGACAGGGCCUCUCUAGGAGUGGACAAUUCCUAGGUAGGUACAAUGAAAAUUUAGUGGAUUUCAAAAGUUGUA
Molecule: non-coding RNA, 3323 nt
Organism: Rattus norvegicus (Norway rat)
Lineage: Eukaryota; Metazoa; Chordata; Mammalia; Rodentia; Muridae
Source: RefSeq, a predicted model, not a curated record